Non-coding RNA from Schistosoma margrebowiei, 61 nucleotides. The record is from Rfam. NCBI's taxonomy places the organism in Eukaryota, Metazoa, Platyhelminthes, Trematoda, Strigeidida, Schistosomatidae.
AGCCUUCUGUAUCCGUGCUGAGAUUUCGUCACAUACCAGACCACAAGGGCUGAUGAGACUU